Molecule: long non-coding RNA, 402 nt
Filed under: Salvia miltiorrhiza (redroot sage)
Lineage: Eukaryota; Viridiplantae; Streptophyta; Magnoliopsida; Lamiales; Lamiaceae
Description: long non-coding RNA (SMIL_LNC013538)
Source: RNAcentral
GUCAACACACUCCUCAGAAACAAUCUGUUGAAUGUGAGGCAAGAGCAGCAAAUCAUCAAUGCUCUCAUAUAAGUUUCUGAGGCCAUUUGCAGUGCGGUUGAUGGAUGAGAGCGACGAGCAAGCAUCCUCGGAAGAUCUCAAUAUGGAUAAGUUCUCAUCGAAGUGAGUAAUAGCAGGAUGUGAUGAGGAUGGGAAGCUAAGAGAGCGGCCAUGGUUAAGUGACUUGGAUCUCAAAGGUGAGGGAGCCAUUGUUUUAUUAGGUGAAAGUAAGGCUUAGAAUUGAAUUGAAUCAAGAAAAUUGUGAUGCAUCUAAAAACAAUGUAUGUGCUUAUUAUAUAGUGGGGAAGAGGACUCAAGGAAUCUGCAUUAUUUUCCCAAUGACAGACCAUAAAUAACUGCCAU